This 19-nucleotide non-coding RNA is filed under the name Arabidopsis thaliana (thale cress). Lineage: Eukaryota; Viridiplantae; Streptophyta; Magnoliopsida; Brassicales; Brassicaceae. The record is from RNAcentral.
GAUAUAUUCAACGACAAAA